GUCUACGGCUAUACCACUCUGAACGCGCCCGAUCUCGUCUGAUCUCUGAAGAAACACAGUCAUCAUUAGUUUUUCAAGUUCACCGUAUAUU
This 91-nucleotide ribosomal RNA is filed under the name Neogale vison (American mink). Lineage: Eukaryota; Metazoa; Chordata; Mammalia; Carnivora; Mustelidae. The record is from RNAcentral.